GAACAGAUAAGGAGCUUGCUCCUUUGACGUUAGCGGCGGACGGGUGAGUAACACGUGGAUAACCUACCUAUAAGACUGGGAUAACUUCGGGAAACCGGAGCUAAUACCGGAUAACAUAUUGAACCGCAUGGUUCAAUAGUGAAAGGCGGCUUUGCUGUCACUUAUAGAUGGAUCCGCGCCGUAUUAGCUAGUUGGUAAGGUAACGGCUUACCAAGGCAACGAUACGUAGCCGACCUGAGAGGGUGAUCGGCCACACUGGAACUGAGACACGGUCCAGACUCCUACGGGAGGCAGCAGUAGGGAAUCUUCCGCAAUGGGCGAAAGCCUGACGGAGCAACGCCGCGUGAGUGAUGAAGGUCUUCGGAUCGUAAAACUCUGUUAUCAGGGAAGAACAAAUGUGUAAGUAACUGUGCACAUCUUGACGGUACCUGAUCAGAAAGCCACGGCUAACUACGUGCCAGCAGCCGCGGUAAUACGUAGGUGGCAAGCGUUAUCCGGAAUUAUUGGGCGUAAAGCGCGCGUAGGCGGUUUUUUAAGUCUGAUGUGAAAGCCCACGGCUCAACCGUGGAGGGUCAUUGGAAACUGGAAAACUUGAGUGCAGAAGAGGAAAGUGGAAUUCCAUGUGUAGCGGUGAAAUGCGCAGAGAUAUGGAGGAACACCAGUGGCGAAGGCGACUUUCUGGUCUGUAACUGACGCUGAUGUGCGAAAGCGUGGGGAUCAAACAGGAUUAGAUACCCUGGUAGUCCACGCCGUAAACGAUGAGUGCUAAGUGUUAGGGGGUUUCCGCCCCUUAGUGCUGCAGCUAACGCAUUAAGCACUCCGCCUGGGGAGUACGACCGCAAGGUUGAAACUCAAAGGAAUUGACGGGGACCCGCACAAGCGGGGAGCAUGUGGUUUAAUUCGAAGCAACGCGAAGAACCUUACGAAAUCAUGACGUCCUUUGACGUUUCUAGAGAUAGAGUCGUCUACAUCGGGGGACAAAGUGACAGGUGGUGCAUGGUUGUCGUCAGCUCGUGUCGUGAGAUGUUGGGUUAAGUCCCGCAACGAGCGCAACCCUUAAGCUUAGUUGCCAUCAUUAAGUUGGGCACUCUAAGUUGACUGCCGGUGACAAACCGGAGGAAGGUGGGGAUGACGUCAAAUCAUCAUGCCCCUUAUGAUUUGGGCUACACACGUGCUACAAUGGACAAUACAAAGGGCAGCUAAACCGCGAGGUCAAGCAAAUCCCAUAAAGUUGUUCUCAGUUCGGAUUGUAGUCUGCAACUCGACUACAUGAAGCUGGAAUCGCUAGUAAUCGUAGAUCAGCAUGCUACGGUGAAUACGUUCCCGGGUCUUGUACACACCGCCCGUCACACCACGAGAGUUUGUAACACCCGAAGCCGGUGGAGUAACCAUUUAUGGAGCU
RNAcentral lists this ribosomal RNA (1402 nucleotides) under Staphylococcus warneri. RNAcentral describes it as "bacterial SSU rRNA". It matches the Rfam family "Bacterial small subunit ribosomal RNA". RNAcentral also lists the same sequence under 1 other name. Lineage: Bacteria; Bacillati; Bacillota; Bacilli; Caryophanales; Staphylococcaceae. The record is from RNAcentral.